UACGUAGGGUGCAAGCGUUGUCCGGAAUUAUUGGGCGUAAAGAGCUCGUAGGCGGUCUGUUGCGUCGGCUGUGAAAACCCGGGACUCAACCCCGGGCCUGCAGCCGAUACGGGCAGACUAGAGUUCGGCAGGGGAGACUGGAAUUCCUGGUGUAGCGGUGAAAUGCGCAGAUAUCAGGAGGAACACCGGUGGCGAAGGCGGGUCUCUGGGCCGAUACUGACGCUGAGGAGCGAAAGCGUGGGGAGCGAACAGG
This 253-nucleotide ribosomal RNA is filed under the name uncultured bacterium. RNAcentral's name for it is "partial 16S ribosomal RNA". It matches the Rfam family "Bacterial small subunit ribosomal RNA", at positions 524 to 776 of the family's 1533-position model. The record is from RNAcentral.